GUAGCGCAAUGGAUAGCCCUUUGGACUUCUAAUCUAAAAAUCGUGGGUUCAAAUCCCUCUUCGUCA
This is a non-coding RNA of Trichonephila inaurata madagascariensis, 66 nucleotides long. NCBI's taxonomy places the organism in Eukaryota, Metazoa, Arthropoda, Arachnida, Araneae, Nephilidae. The record is from the annotation of a GenBank genome assembly.